AGAGUUUGAUCCUGGCUCAGAACAAACGCUGGCGGCGUGCCUAAUACAUGCAAGUCGAACGGGGAAAGUAGCAAUAUGAGUACUAGUGGCGCACGGGUGAGUAACGCGUGGAUAAUCUGCCUUGAAGAGGGGGAUAACGAGUCGAAAGAUUCGCUAAUACCGCAUAAGACCACAAGGGCUGAGGCUCAAGGGGUCAAAGG
RNAcentral lists this ribosomal RNA (200 nucleotides) under uncultured bacterium. RNAcentral describes it as "partial 16S ribosomal RNA". It matches the Rfam family "Bacterial small subunit ribosomal RNA", at positions 8 to 207 of the family's 1533-position model. The record is from RNAcentral.